Non-coding RNA from Salmo salar (Atlantic salmon), 92 nucleotides. The record is from Rfam. Lineage: Eukaryota; Metazoa; Chordata; Actinopteri; Salmoniformes; Salmonidae.
CUCCCUGUGGCUCAGUUGGUAGAGCAUGGUGUUUGCAACGCCAGCAUGGUGUGUGCAACGCCAGGGUUGUGGGUUCGAUUCCCACGGGGGGC